This 478-nucleotide ribosomal RNA is filed under the name uncultured bacterium. RNAcentral describes it as "partial 16S ribosomal RNA". It matches the Rfam family "Bacterial small subunit ribosomal RNA", at positions 28 to 507 of the family's 1533-position model. The record is from RNAcentral.
GAUGAACGCUGGCGGCGUGCUUAACACAUGCAAGUCGAACGGGAAACCUUUUAAUGAAGCUUCGGCAGAUUUAGCUGGUUUCUAGUGGCGGACGGGUGAGUAACGCGUGGGUAACCUGCCUUAUACAGGGGGAUAACAGUCAGAAAUGACUGCUAAUACCGCAUAAGCGCACAGGACCGCAUGGUCCGGUGUGAAAAACUCCGGUGGUAUAAGAUGGACCCGCGUUGGCUUAGCUUGUUGGUGGGGUAACGGCUCACCAAGGCGACGAUCCAUAGCCGGCAUGAGAGGGUGAACGGCCACAUUGGGACUGAGACACGGCCCAGACUCCUACGGGAGGCAGCAGUGGGGAAUAUUGCACAAUGGGGGAAACCCUGAUGCAGCGACGCCGCGUGAAGGAAGAAGUAUCUCGGUAUGUAAACUUCUAUCAGCAGGGAAGAUAGUGACGGUACCUGACUAAGAAGCCCCGGCUAACUACGUG